UACGGAGGGUGCAAGCGUUGUCCGGAAUCACUGGGCGUAAAGGGCGCGUAGGUGGCCCCUCAAGCGUGCGGUGAAAGUCAGGGGCUCAACCCCUGAUCGGCCGUGCGAACUGGGGAGCUUGAGCACUGUAGAGGCAGGCGGAAUUCCGGGUGUAGCGGUGGAAUGCGUAGAGAUCCGGAAGAACACCGGUGGCGAAGGCGGCCUGCUGGGCAGUUUUGCUGACACUGAGGCGCGACAGCGUGGGGAGCAAACAGG
Molecule: ribosomal RNA, 255 nt
Filed under: uncultured bacterium
Lineage: Bacteria
Description: partial 16S ribosomal RNA
Rfam family: Bacterial small subunit ribosomal RNA
Source: RNAcentral